RNAcentral lists this ribosomal RNA (168 nucleotides) under Gloeophyllum striatum. Its description in RNAcentral is "5.8S subunit ribosomal RNA". It matches the Rfam family "5.8S ribosomal RNA". Rfam says of the family: 5.8S ribosomal RNA (5.8S rRNA) is a component of the large subunit of the eukaryotic ribosome. It is transcribed by RNA polymerase I as part of the 45S precursor that also contains 18S and 28S rRNA. The record is from RNAcentral. Lineage: Eukaryota; Fungi; Basidiomycota; Agaricomycetes; Gloeophyllales; Gloeophyllaceae.
AUCUAUAAACAACUUUCAACAACGGAUCUCUUGGCUCUCGCAUCGAUGAAGAACGCAGCGAAAUGCGAUAAGUAAUGUGAAUUGCAGAAUUCAGUGAAUCAUCGAAUCUUUGAACGCACCUUGCGCUCCUUGGUAUUCCGAGGAGCAUGCCUGUUUGAGUGUCAUGAA